UUAAUAUUAGUUAUGAAAUAUAUUUCAAGAAAUUUUAUAUCUAGUUUUUUAAGAGUAAAAGUUUAAUAGAAUAAUUUUUAUAAAAAUUAAUAUGGUUUAGCUUAUUAAUUUUAUAUACUGAUAGAAUUUUUUAACCUUAGUAAAUUUGAUAGUGUUUAUUUUAUAAAUUUAUAAUGGAGGGUAAUAUGAAUAAAAAUUUUUAUUUGUUAUUUUUUUAUUAAAAAAUUUAUUUAAAUUUUAGAGUUUUAUUUAUAAUGAAAAAAUUAGUAAAAAUUUAUUUAUAUUAAAAAAUAAUUAAUAAUUUAUAAUUGUUAUAAUUAUUAUAAAAAAUGAAUUCGGCAAAAAGUAUUAUUUGACUGUUUAGCAAAAACAUUGUUUCAUGAAGAAUAUAUGAAAUAAUGUCUGUCCACUGAUAUAUUUGAAGGACUGCAGUAUAUUGACUGUAUAAAAGUAGCAUAAUCAUUAGCUUUUUAUUUUGGGGUUGGUAUGAAGGCGAAACGGAUAAGUUCUUUAUUUUUUAUAAGUGUUUAAGUUUAUUUUUAAGUGAAAAAUCUUAAUUAGAUGAAAGGGACCAGAAGACCCCAAUAAGAUUUAUUUUUCUUUUAUUUAUGUUAUAGGAAAAUUUAAUUAUGAUAAUAUUAAAUUAGAAAUUUGGUUGGGGCGAUUAGUUAUAAAACAUAAUUUAUUUAUAAUUUUU
RNAcentral lists this ribosomal RNA (697 nucleotides) under Pseudopolydesmus canadensis. RNAcentral describes it as "partial large subunit ribosomal RNA". Lineage: Eukaryota; Metazoa; Arthropoda; Diplopoda; Polydesmida; Polydesmidae. The record is from RNAcentral.